UACAGAGGUCUCAAGCGUUGUUCGGAUUCAUUGGGCGUAAAGGGUGCGUAGGUGGCGCUGUAAGUCGGGUGUGAAAUUUCGGAGCUUAACUCCGAAACUGCAUUCGAUACUGCGGUGCUUGAGGACUGGAGAGGAGACUGGAAUUCAUGGUGUAGCAGUGAAAUGCGUAGAGAUCAUGAGGAAGACCAGUGGCGAAGGCGGGUCUCUGGGCAUUACCUGACGCUGAGGAGCGAAAGUGUGGGGAGCGAACAGG
RNAcentral lists this ribosomal RNA (253 nucleotides) under uncultured bacterium. RNAcentral's name for it is "partial 16S ribosomal RNA". It matches the Rfam family "Bacterial small subunit ribosomal RNA", at positions 524 to 776 of the family's 1533-position model. The record is from RNAcentral.